Molecule: unclassified non-coding RNA, 688 nt
Filed under: Hevea brasiliensis (rubber tree)
Lineage: Eukaryota; Viridiplantae; Streptophyta; Magnoliopsida; Malpighiales; Euphorbiaceae
Source: RNAcentral
UUAAUAUAAAAAAAAUUAUUAUUUAAACUAAAUCUAUCGUAAAUCUAUGUUAAAUCAUAUUUAAGCAAAAUUUUCCCCCGAUCCAUUAUUCGCUAAUCAAUAUUAUUCUCAACAGCCCAACACCAUUGAACUAGAAGCAACUCCAUCCAAUCAUUCAUCAUCAUCUUAUCAGCUACAAGCUAUGGCUCAUAGAUUGAUCCACAAAACAAUUUGUGAUGCAGGUAUGGUGACUAGUGGAAUCCAUUAGCAUGAGCUGUUCAUCACUUACUUGACAUUGAUGGUGAUCUUAGCCAUUUCUAGGAUGAACUAUCUUUAUUCCUUGGUCUUUUUCAACAAUUUGUCUCUAUAUAAAUGCCAAUUUGGGGACUAAGAACAACAAGAUCUUAUGAACAAGCUGCAAGCCAGAAAGGGAGCUCAAUCUACCUUUGAACCUUGUUCAUCUGAAAAGUCGGUCGAAGGAUAAAUAUAUCAAAACGGGGGCUUGUUUGAUUAGGAUAACUCCGCUCAGGAACUUCUAAAAUUCUGCUAAUUUGGUUGGCCCUAUGCCUUGACUUCCUGCAAAGUAAAGGCACGGGCGUUGAGUUUCCUAGAAAGUAGGCCAUUUGAACCAAUACAAUCCACACUUCUCUAUCGAGCUCUCCCUUUCUCUAUCGAUGAAGGAAAUGAAAAUGGAUACGCAAGUUCUAAG